UUUACUUUAGUGUAAAGAGCACGCAAAUUUUUGGUAUUUGAGGUUUAAUCGUACAGAUAAAU
RNAcentral lists this transfer RNA (62 nucleotides) under Pallaseopsis kessleri. Its description in RNAcentral is "tRNA-Gln". Lineage: Eukaryota; Metazoa; Arthropoda; Malacostraca; Amphipoda; Pallaseidae. The record is from RNAcentral.